GACGAACGCUGGCGGCGUGCUUAACACAUGCAAGUCGAACGGAAAGGCCCUGCUUGCAGGGUGCUCGCGUGGCGAACGGGGGAGUAACACGUGUGUGUUCUGCCCUGCACUUCGGGAUAAGCCUGGGGAACUCUGGCUAAUACCGGGGAGGGGCCCUCUUGAUGGUGAGGGUUGGAAGGUAUUUUGGGUGUAGGAUGAGCUCGCGGCCUGUCAGCUUGUUGGUGGGGUGGUGACCUACAAACGCGGGGACUGGUAGCCGGCCUGAGAGGGUGGACGGCCACACUGGGACUGAGAUACGGCGCAGACUCCCACGGGGGGCAGAAGUGGGGAAUAUUGCGCAAUGGGGGCAAGCCUGAUGCAGCGACGCCGCGUGGGGGAUGACGGCCCUCGGGUUGUGAAAUCCUUUCGCUCGGGAGGAAGCGUUUUGUGACGGUAACUAGAUAAGGAGCCCCGGCUAACUACGUG
Molecule: ribosomal RNA, 465 nt
Filed under: uncultured bacterium
Lineage: Bacteria
Description: partial 16S ribosomal RNA
Rfam family: Bacterial small subunit ribosomal RNA
Source: RNAcentral